ACAGAGUAUUGGGACCCGACCAGUGUUCCACAGCCUUGAUGGGUGGUGCCUUGGGGGGGAUGGGGGCAGUGACAUGGAGCGACUGUAGCGUUGUUGAGGCGUGUGACUUCGGGGGCCCCUGCCCGUCGGUUGGGUUGGAGCCGUGGCUGUUGCGUUUUGCGGGUUCCUGCUGGGGGGUGCGCCUCUGCAGUGCAUGGGUGCGGAGUUCUUGGGGGAACUUGCUCGUUUGGUCUGCUGUGAGUCUUGUUUCUCGUACAGGGGGAGGUUCUUUGAACAGUUGCGAAGGGUCGUGAUCGGGGGCCCAGUGGCGGGUGCC
RNAcentral lists this long non-coding RNA (316 nucleotides) under Androctonus crassicauda. Lineage: Eukaryota; Metazoa; Arthropoda; Arachnida; Scorpiones; Buthidae. The record is from RNAcentral.